This 1073-nucleotide ribosomal RNA is filed under the name Microbacterium testaceum. RNAcentral describes it as "bacterial SSU rRNA". It matches the Rfam family "Bacterial small subunit ribosomal RNA", at positions 57 to 1144 of the family's 1533-position model. The record is from RNAcentral. Lineage: Bacteria; Bacillati; Actinomycetota; Actinomycetes; Micrococcales; Microbacteriaceae.
GCAGUCGACGGUGAUGCCAAGCUUGCUUGGUGGAUCAGUGGCGAACGGGUGAGUAACACGUGAGCAACCUGCCCUGGACUCUGGGAUAAGCGCUGGAAACGGUGUCUAAUACUGGAUAUGAGAUGUGAUCGCAUGGUCAUGUUUGUAAAGAUUUUUCGGUCUGGGAUGGGCUCGCGGCCUAUCAGCUUGUUGGUGAGGUAAUGGCUCACCAAGGCGUCGACGGGUAGCCGGCCUGAGAGGGUGACCGGCCACACUGGGACUGAGACACGGCCCAGACUCCUACGGGAGGCAGCAGUGGGGAAUAUUGCACAAUGGGCGGAAGCCUGAUGCAGCAACGCCGCGUGAGGGAUGACGGCCUUCGGGUUGUAAACCUCUUUUAGCAGGGAAGAAGCGAAAGUGACGGUACCUGCAGAAAAAGCGCCGGCUAACUACGUGCCAGCAGCCGCGGUAAUACGUAGGGCGCAAGCGUUAUCCGGAAUUAUUGGGCGUAAAGAGCUCGUAGGCGGUUUGUCGCGUCUGCUGUGAAAUCCCGAGGCUCAACUUCGGGUCUGCAGUGGGUACGGGCAGACUAGAGUGCGGUAGGGGAGAUUGGAAUUCCUGGUGUAGCGGUGGAAUGCGCAGAUAUCAGGAGGAACACCGAUGGCGAAGGCAGAUCUCUGGGCCGUAACUGACGCUGAGGAGCGAAAGGGUGGGGAGCAAACAGGCUUAGAUACCCUGGUAGUCCACCCCGUAAACGUUGGGAACUAGUUGUGGGGACCAUUCCACGGUUUCCGUGACGCAGCUAACGCAUUAAGUUCCCCGCCUGGGGAGUACGGCCGCAAGGCUAAAACUCAAAGGAAUUGACGGGGACCCGCACAAGCGGCGGAGCAUGCGGAUUAAUUCGAUGCAACGCGAAGAACCUUACCAAGGCUUGACAUAUACGAGAACGGGCCAGAAAUGGUCAACUCUUUGGACACUCGUAAACAGGUGGUGCAUGGUUGUCGUCAGCUCGUGUCGUGAGAUGUUGGGUUAAGUCCCGCAACGAGCGCAACCCUCGUUCUAUGUUGCCAGCACGUAAUGGUGGGAACUCAUGG